RNAcentral lists this long non-coding RNA (1604 nucleotides) under Anas platyrhynchos platyrhynchos (common mallard). RNAcentral's name for it is "lncRNA (ENSAPLG00000030343.1)". The record is from RNAcentral. Lineage: Eukaryota; Metazoa; Chordata; Aves; Anseriformes; Anatidae.
CCAUGUCCCCAUUCCUGGUGGUGGCACCCAUGUCCCCAUGUCCACAACCCCCAUGGUGGUGGCACCCAUGUCCCCAUUCCUGGUGGUGGCACCUGUCCCCAUGUCCCCAUGGUGGUGGCACCCAUGUCCCCAUUCCUGGUGGUGGCACCCAUCCCUGUGUCCCCAACACCCAUGGUGGCACCUGUCCCCAUGUCCCCAUGGGGGUGGCACCCAUGUCCCCAACCCCCAUGGUGGUGCCAUCUGUGUCCCCAUGUCCCCAACCCCUGCUGGUGCCACCUGCCCAUGCCCGGUGCCACUGCUGUCCCCAUAACCGGGGGGGGACACCUGGGGGCCACCUGUCCCCUGCCCCCUGCCCCCUGUCCCCUGUCCCUGUCCCCUCGGGGGGGGAACCAGGUGCCCGAGGCCACCCCACGUCCCCUUUUGGUGUCCCCGUGGGUGUCACGGGGGGGACGGGGAUUUUUUUUGGGGGGGGGGGCCAGACCCCGCUGGGGGCGCCGCCCCCCCCCCCCCCAGCCCCUCCCCCGCUUCCUCCGGCGUUAAAAAAAGCGCCAGCGCCGCGUCACCAUGGUGACGGUGACAGCGGGGGGACGCGGCCACCGCCACCGCCACCGGGACCGCCACCGCCACCCGUGGCACCAGUGACACCAGUGACACCGCCACCAAAACCAGCGCCACCUGCGCUGUCCCCGUGCUGCCACCGGUGCCACCAGCGCUGUCACUGCCACCAGUGUCACCAGUGCCACCAGUGCCACCAGUGCCACCACCACUGCCACCAGUGUCACCACCACUGCCACAAUAUCACUGCCACCACCACUGCCACCACCACUGCCACCAGUGUCACCACCAGUGCCACCAGUGCCACCAGUGUCACCAGUGUCACCAGUGUCACCAUCACUGCCACCAGUGUCACCAGUGUCACCAGUGUCACCAUCACUGCCACCAGUGCCACCAUCACUGCCAUCAUAUCAGUACCACCAGUGCCACCAGUGUCACCACCAGUGCCACCAGUGUCACCAUCACUGCCACCAGUGUCACCAGUGCCACCAGUGUCACCACCAGUGCCAUCAUAUCACUGCCACCAGUGCCACCAGUGUCACCAUCACUGCCACCAUCACUGCCACCAGUACCACCAUCACUGCCACCACCACGGCCAUCACUGCCACCACCAGUGCCACCAUAUCAUUGCCACCAGUCCCACCAUCACUGCCUCCACCAGUGCCACCAGUGCCACCAGCACUGCCACCAGCACUGCCACCAGUGUCACCAUCACUGCCAUCAUAUCACUGCCACCACUGCCACCAUAUCACUGCCACCAGUGCCACCAGUGCCACCACCACCGGUGCCACCACAGCCACCCCUGUCCCCGCCACCGGCCCCGUGGCAGUGGCACCGCCACCAGCAGGGACGUGUCCCCCGGCCCCGCUGUCCCCACGCUGCCACUUGCGGCGGGCGACGUCCCCAACCCCCGGUGUCCCCUCACCCCCCCCCGGUGUCCCCAGAGUCACCCCAGUAUCCCCUCAGAGUCCCCCCGCUGUCCCCACACACUUGGCACCCCCCAAAUCCCCCCAUGCCCCCCUGACCCCCCCUGUCCCCCCAUUGUCCCC